AGCUGAUGGAGAGAAAAAGAAUUGAAAACUUUACUUGAUUACAAAGAAGAGUUUAAACUGAAAGUGAAGCCACUGACUAGAGGGAAGUUGACAAAUGAAGUGUUCAAGUCAAAAAAUUAGAGACUCAGUAUUUCCGAACCUUUCUCCUAAUAAAAGCAGGAAGAGAGAAGGCAUUAGUGGAAUAUAAGAAAGAGAUUGAGCUACUACAAGAAAAGAUAUCAAAAACUGUAUAUAGUGCACAACUGCUGAGUCAAAUGGCAAAUAUUGAGAAGAAGGAUCAGUGUACACAAUCACCAACAGCAGACUAUGAUUCUAUUUACACAGGACGUAUUGACUAUUAUGGGAUAUAU
Molecule: long non-coding RNA, 350 nt
Organism: Amphimedon queenslandica
Lineage: Eukaryota; Metazoa; Porifera; Demospongiae; Haplosclerida; Niphatidae
Exons: 4
Source: RefSeq, a predicted model, not a curated record